This 66-nucleotide transfer RNA is filed under the name Asymmetron inferum. RNAcentral's name for it is "tRNA-Gly". The record is from RNAcentral. Lineage: Eukaryota; Metazoa; Chordata; Leptocardii; Amphioxiformes; Branchiostomatidae.
AUUUGUCUAGUAUAAAAAUUAUUUUAGAUUUCCAUUCUAAGGAUCCGCUGAUUAGUGGGACAAAUA